GCCGUAGACUCACAAUGUCUACAUUACGGGUGAGGAUGACUUCUAGAAUAUGCCAGAAGGCCCUCGAACGGAGUAGACGAGGAGGUGGGAUGGACACAUAGCACUGUCCGGUUGUCUAGGAGUGCAGAGCAUACUAGUUUCAUUGAGGGAACUUUUCUUUCCUUAUCAUUCGUGAGAGGAGAGUUGGGGGUUAUUGUUUUUAUUCAUUAAAUCCUUGUUUGACACGGUCAUUUCUUAUGAGUAAGAUAGUUUUCUUGUAUGAUACUGUACUACAGUUGUUUCCCUUACAGGUGAUGAAUGGGUAGUUUUUUAAAAAAAAGGUUGAGGGAAUAUCUGGGAUGUUUUAGUUGGUAUCAGAGCGGCCACUUCUAAAGGAUAGUGUGCACGCCAUCUCAUCAGGAACUCGGCUACUUCCGCCUACAAAUUUGAUGGGGCAAUGGGAGCUACUUGAAACAACACAUCAUUCUUUUAAGAAGAAGAAAGGCAAUGAGGAAGAAAUGUCUAGCUCUUAUGGUAAAGGACGGUUUGGCAGUAAGCUCUAGCGAUGAGGAGAUAAACAUUAGUGCAAGGGGAGCAUCACUCAAAAACAAUGUGAGGAUGACUUCUAGAAUAUGCCAGACAGCCCUCGGAUGGAGUAGACGAGGAGGCGGGAUAGACGCAUGGCACUGUUCGGUUGUCUAGGAGUGCAGAGCAUACUGGUUUCAUUGAGGGAACUUUUCUUUCCUUAUCAUUCGUGAGAGGAGAAUUGGGGGUUAUUAUUUUUAUUCAUUAAAUCCUUGUUUGACACGAUCAUUUCCUAUGAGUAAGAUAGUUUUCUUGUA
Molecule: long non-coding RNA, 821 nt
Organism: Zingiber officinale
Lineage: Eukaryota; Viridiplantae; Streptophyta; Magnoliopsida; Zingiberales; Zingiberaceae
Exons: 3
Source: RefSeq, a predicted model, not a curated record